AGGAGGAUGGCUCCUUGAGGGCUUGGCACGGAUACCUGACGGUCAGAGGAAGGUGGGAGAGCCUGUAAGGGAGGCUGACCCAAAACUGAGGCCCAGUGCAUCAUCCCUCAUGAGAGGCAAGCCCAGAAGCGCCACAAUACUGCCCCCUUCAGGAGACAGAGACCCCCAGGACACGGAGGCCCUCCAAGUCACUCAGCCCCCGCCAGGACACGCAGCUCCUGCAGGACACAGAGGGCGCCCAAGACACACAGUCCCCAGGACAGAGACCCCCCAGGACACAGAGGACCCCCAAGACACGCAGUCUCCAGGACACAGAGCCCCCUACCCCAGGACACACAGUGCCCCCAGGACACAGAGGUCCCCCAGGACACAGCACUCCUAGGACACACAGCCCCCCCGUGACACAGAAACCCCCCCAGGACACAGCCUCCCCCAGUACACAGAGUCCUUUCCAGGACACAUAGCCCCCCAGAGAACACACAGCUCCUCAGGACACAGAGGCCCCCCCUAAGACACAGCCCCCCCACGACACACAGCCCAUAGAGGACACAGCCCCUUAGUACCCCACCUAAAGGACAGGUGGCCCUCACACAGCACAGUCCCCGCAGGACUCCGGGGUCCUCAGGUCACAUUGUCCAUGAGACACAGCCCCCCCAAGACACGCAGCCUCCCCAGGACACAGAGCCCCCCCCAAUACACGCAGACCCCCAGGACACAGAGGCCUCCCAGGACACAGGACCCCCAGGACACGCACCCCCAAGACAGACCCCCAGGACACAGUGGCCUUCCAGGACACAGAAGCACCACCGAGGACACGUGCCCCUCCCCCCAGGACAGAGGCCCCCCUCCAGGUCAUAAAGGCCCCCCCCCGGACAUAGGGGCCCCCUAGGACACACAGCCCCUUAGGACCCCACCUAAAGGACAAGGUGGCCCUCACACAGCACAGCCCCCGCAGGACUCCGGGCCCCUCAGGUCACGUUGCUCACAGGGCACUGUUCUCCUCCACUCUUAGGGUCAGGCUGCUGGGGGCAUCUUGGUCACAGAGCUUUGUCCCUGGGCUUGGCUCAUGCAGUGGAUGGCUGUGGAGGCCUGAGUGCUGGCCUUCGUGUCUCCUGCCCAGGGAGUCCUCUCCACCCCCCCUCCUCACUUUCCUGACCCCUCUUGGGCUCUCCCUGUUCCCUGCAGCACACCUGAUCUCCUAGGAGGUUCUGACACCGUCCCCUCGCAGCCACCUGCCUCCACCCCUGUCUGUCAUCCUCAUUCCACCCUCGCCACUUGCCUGAGCUGGUGCUGACCUCUCAGCCAUGGGGAGAAAGGAGCUGGACUGUAAGCUGAGAUCACUGGCCCACUUGGGCCAGGCGGUCCCUGCGUCGUGGGCAUUGAACACCUCGAUUCCCAUACAAGAGGGGCUCCUCCCUGAGAGUGACCAGGAGCCUUCCGAUGGCGGAGCGAGUUGGGCCGCCCGGGUCCAAAUCACAGAGCUGGGGAGAGACCUAAGUGCGGUCCAGGGGCUCAGCACCGUCUUCCCUGGAGGGCACUGGGUUCUCCUCUCUGCACACGUACCGGUACCUGCUGUGAGAAGUGUCACGUGGGGGAAGGAGAGAGGCGUGGGGUCUCUGCAGAUGUGAUAAAGCGAGAAGCCCUGAGACAGGAAGACUGUCCCGAAUUGUCUGGACGUCCCCAAGUGCCAUCACAUGCUUCUUCAGGCAGAGGAAGGAUUGACCAACAGAAAACACCACAUGGGGACGGAGGUGGAGACUGCAGUGAUGUGGCCACAAGCCCAGGAAUGCCCAGGGCCCCCAGAAGCUGGAAGAGGCCGGAAGGACCCUGCCAGAGCCUCCAGAGGGCGCCAUGCCUUGAUCUCAGCCCAGUGAUGCUGAUUUUGGACUUGGACUCCAGAACAGUGACGGAACACACUUCUGUUGUUUCAGGCCCCCGGGGCUGUGGUAGUUUAUUACAGCAACAGUAACAGACCUUGAAACCCACGCCGAGGGCUUGGCAGGACAUUCUUGGUAGUCCUGAGGAGCCGUCAAUUACAAAACAAGAAAAAGGAAGGAAGAGAAAAAUACAGGUUUGGCCUGGUUUAAUGUUGCAAAGGGAGGAUCCGUUUCCUUACCCUCCACCAUCACCGAGCCGGGAACAGAGGGAGAAGAGGCCCCUCAACGUGGGUUUCUUCAACGUGGACUCUCCUUUCUUUGCAUCUCAGUGUCCUUGUGUUUGCAGCUGGGAGGUCAGCCCUGUCGUCCUCACCCCGACCUGUGGCACAGCAGAGAGAAGGCUGCAGAGGUCUUCACAGUGUGUCUGCACAAGGCUGGCCACCCUCUCCAGACACUGUCCCCUCAGGGUUCACCUUCUGUUCACAGACCACACCCCUGCCUCCCCAUGCACUUUGUCCCCGUGGCUGCCGUGCCCAGGUGGCCACACACCCCCCAGCCUGGCUCCACCCGCAGGGACCAGUGCUCCUCUCUCCUGCCUGGGCCUCAGUUCCACCAUCUCUGAAUACAGGCUUUGCCCCU
Molecule: long non-coding RNA, 2516 nt
Organism: Pongo pygmaeus (Bornean orangutan)
Lineage: Eukaryota; Metazoa; Chordata; Mammalia; Primates; Hominidae
Exons: 3
Source: RefSeq, a predicted model, not a curated record